CCUACGGGAGGCAGCAGUGGGGAAUAUUGCACAAUGGGGGAAACCCUGAUGCAGCGACGCCGCGUGAGUGAAGAAGUAAUUCGUUAUGUAAAGCUCUAUCAGCAGGGAAGAAAAUGACGGUACCUGAGCAAGAAGCCCCGGCUAACUACGUGCCAGCAGCCGCGGUAAUACGUAGGGGGCAAGCGUUAUCCGGAUUUACUGGGUGUAAAGGGAGCGUAGACGGCAGUGCAAGUCUGGAGUGAAAGGCGGGGGCUCAACCCCCGGACUGCUCUGGAAACUGUACGGCUGGAGUGCAGGAGAGGGAAGUAGAAUUCCUAGUGUAGCGGUGAAAUGCGUAGAUAUUAGGAGGAACACCAGUGGCGAAGGCGGCUUACUGGACUGUAACUGACGUUGAGGCUCGAAAGCGUGGGGAGCAAACAGGAUUAGAUACCCUAGUAGUC
RNAcentral lists this ribosomal RNA (440 nucleotides) under uncultured bacterium. RNAcentral describes it as "partial 16S ribosomal RNA". It matches the Rfam family "Bacterial small subunit ribosomal RNA", at positions 338 to 795 of the family's 1533-position model. The record is from RNAcentral.